AACGCUGGCGGCGUGCCUAAUACAUGCAAGUCGAACGAGUUCUCGUUGAUAUCGGUGCUUGCACGACGGGUGAGUAACACGUGGGUAACCUGCCCUUAAGUGGGGGAUAACAUUUGGAAACAGUAGCUAAUACCGCAUAGUCCAAGAACCGCAUGGUUCGUUGGCUGAAAGUAGGCUAACUAUCGCUUUGGUAGGACCCGCGCGUAUUAGCUAGUUGGUGAGGUAAUGGUCCACACCAAGGCUAUACAUAGCGUACGAGAGGUUGAUCGGCCACAUUGGGAUGAGACACGGCCCAAACUCCUACGGGAAGCAGCAGUAGGGAAUCUUCCACAAUGGACGCAACGUCUGAUGGAGCAACGCCGCGUGAGUGAAGAAGGCUUUCGAGUCGUAAAACUCUGUUGUUGGAGAAGAAUGGUCGGCAGAGUCAAUGUUGUCGGCGUGACGGUAUCCAACCAGAAAGCCACGGCUAACUA
Molecule: ribosomal RNA, 473 nt
Filed under: Fructilactobacillus fructivorans
Lineage: Bacteria; Bacillati; Bacillota; Bacilli; Lactobacillales; Lactobacillaceae
Description: bacterial SSU rRNA
Rfam family: Bacterial small subunit ribosomal RNA
Source: RNAcentral